This 468-nucleotide ribosomal RNA is filed under the name uncultured bacterium. RNAcentral's name for it is "partial 16S ribosomal RNA". It matches the Rfam family "Bacterial small subunit ribosomal RNA", at positions 28 to 507 of the family's 1533-position model. The record is from RNAcentral.
GACGAACGCUGGCGGCGUGCUUAACACAUGCAAGUCGAACGGAAAGGCCCUGCUUUUGUGGGGUGCUCGAGUGGCGAACGGGUGAGUAACAAGUGAGUAACCUGCCCUUGACUUUGGGAUAACUUCAGGAAACUGGGGCUAAUACCGGAUAGGAGCUCCUGCUGCACGGUGGGGGUUGGAAAGUUUCGGCGGUUGGGGAUGGACUCGCGGCUUAUCAGCUUGUUGGUGGGGUAGUGGCUUACCAAGGCUUUGACGGGUAGCCGGCCUGAGAGGGUGACCGGCCACGUUGGGACUGAGCUACGGCCCAAACUCCUACGAGGGGCAGCAGUGGAGAAUAUUACAGAAUAGGCGGAAGCCUGAUGCAGCAACGCCGCGUACGGAUUAACGGCCUUCGGAUUGUAAUCCGCUUUCGCCUGUGACGAAGCGUGAGUGACGGUAAUGGGUAAAGAAGCACCGGCUAGCUACGUG